RNAcentral lists this ribosomal RNA (705 nucleotides) under Salmonella enterica subsp. enterica serovar Enteritidis. RNAcentral describes it as "partial 23S ribosomal RNA". It matches the Rfam family "Bacterial large subunit ribosomal RNA", at positions 504 to 1208 of the family's 2925-position model. The record is from RNAcentral. Lineage: Bacteria; Pseudomonadati; Pseudomonadota; Gammaproteobacteria; Enterobacterales; Enterobacteriaceae.
UGAGGGAAAGGCGAAAAGAACCCCGGCGAGGGGAGUGAAAAAGAACCUGAAACCGUGUACGUACAAGCAGUGGGAGCACAGGUUUACCUGUGUGACUGCGUACCUUUUGUAUAAUGGGUCAGCGACUUAUAUUCUGUAGCAAGGUUAACCGAAUAGGGGAGCCGGAGGGAAACCGAGUCUUAAUUGGGCGUUAAGUUGCAGGGUAUAGACCCGAAACCCGGUGAUCUAGCCAUGGGCAGGUUGAAGGUUGGGUAACACUAACUGGAGGACCGAACCGACUAAUGUUGAAAAAUUAGCGGAUGACCUGUGGCUGGGGGUGAAAGGCCAAUCAAACCGGGAGAUAGCUGGUUCUCCCCGAAAGCUAUUUAGGUAGCGCCUCGUGAAUUCAUCUCCGGGGGUAGAGCACUGUUUCGGCUAGGGGGCCAUCCCGGCUUACCAACCCGAUGCAAACUGCGAAUACCGGAGAAUGUUAUCACGGGAGACACACGGCGGGUGCUAACGUCCGUCGUGAAGAGGGAAACAACCCAGACCGCCAGCUAAGGUCCCAAAGUCAUGGUUAAGUGGGAAACGAUGUGGGAAGGCCCAGACAGCCAGGAUGUUGGCUUAGAAGCAGCCAUCAUUUAAAGAAAGCGUAAUAGCUCACUGGUCGAGUCGGCCUGCGCGGAAGAUGUAACGGGGCUAAACCAUGCACCGAAGCUGCGGCAG